Molecule: transfer RNA, 76 nt
Filed under: Streptomyces sp. CNQ-509
Lineage: Bacteria; Bacillati; Actinomycetota; Actinomycetes; Kitasatosporales; Streptomycetaceae
Also listed under: 7 other names
Description: tRNA-Gly
Rfam family: tRNA
About the family: Transfer RNA (tRNA) molecules are approximately 80 nucleotides in length. Their secondary structure includes four short double-helical elements and three loops (D, anti-codon, and T loops).
Source: RNAcentral
GCGGACGUAGCUCAGUUGGUAGAGCACCACCUUGCCAAGGUGGGGGUCGCGAGUUCGAGUCUCGUCGUCCGCUCCA